AGGGAAUAUUGGGCAAUGGGCGCAAGCCUGACCCAGCGACGCCGCGUGAGGGAUGAAGGUCUUCGGAUUGUAAACCUCUUUCAGUAGGGAAGAAGCGAAAGUGACGGUACCUAAAGAAGAAGCACCGGCUAACUAUGUGCCAGCAGCCGCGGUAAUACAUAGGGUGCAAGCGUUGUCCGGAAUUAUUGGGCGUAAAGAGCUCGUAGGUCGUUUGUCGCGUCGAUUGUGAAAAUCUGAGGCUCAACCUCAGACCUGCAGUCGAUACGGGCAAACUAGAGUGUGGUAGGGGAGACUGGAAUUCCUGGUGUAGCGGUGGAAUGCGCAGAUAUCAGGAGGAACACCAAUGGCGAAGGCAGGUCUCUGGGCCAUAACUGACACUGAGGAGCGAAAGUGCGGGGAGCGAAC
This 405-nucleotide ribosomal RNA is filed under the name uncultured Frankineae bacterium. Its description in RNAcentral is "bacterial SSU rRNA". It matches the Rfam family "Bacterial small subunit ribosomal RNA", at positions 356 to 773 of the family's 1533-position model. The record is from RNAcentral. Lineage: Bacteria; Bacillati; Actinomycetota; Actinomycetes; Frankiales.